Molecule: ribosomal RNA, 916 nt
Filed under: Verrucomicrobia bacterium TP675
Lineage: Bacteria; Pseudomonadati; Verrucomicrobiota
Description: bacterial SSU rRNA
Rfam family: Bacterial small subunit ribosomal RNA
Source: RNAcentral
CUGAUGGUGCGACGCCGCGUGAGGGAUGAAGGCCUUCGGGUUGUAAACCUCUGUCACCGGGGAAGAAACGCUUCAAGUUAACAGCUUGAAGCCUGACUUAACCCGGAGAGGAAGCAGUGGCUAACUCUGUGCCAGCAGCCGCGGUAAUACAGAGACUGCAAGCGUUAUUCGGAUUCACUGGGCGUAAAGGGUGCGCAGGCGGUUGGGUGUGUCAGAUGUGAAAUCCCGAGGCUCAACCUCGGAACUGCGUCUGAAACUACUCGACUAGAGUAUUGGAGAGGGUAACGGAAUUCACGGUGUAGCAGUGAAAUGCGUAGAUAUCGUGAGGAACACCAGAGGCGAAGGCGGUUACCUGGACAAUUACUGACGCUCAGGCACGAAAGCAUGGGGAGCAAAAGGGAUUAGAUACCCCUGUAGUCCAUGCCCUAAACGGUGCACACUAGGUCUUAGCGGAUUCGACCCCACUAGGGCCCAAGCUAACGCGUUAAGUGUGCCGCCUGAGGACUACGGUCGCAAGACUAAAACUCAAAGGAAUUGACGGGGGCCCGCACAAGCGGUGGAGCAUGUGGCUCAAUUCGAUGCAACGCGAAGAACCUUACCAGGCCUUGACAUGCACUAGACCGACUCUGAAAGGAGUCUUCCCUUCGGGGCUGGUGCACAGGUGCUGCAUGGCUGUCGUCAGCUCGUGUCGUGAGAUGUUGCGUUAAGUCGCGCAACGAGCGCAACCCCUGUCCUUAGUUGCCAUCAGGUAAAGCUGGGCACUCUAGGGAGACAAACCCUCUCUGAGGGUGGGAAGGUGGGGAUGACGUCAAGUCAGGAUGGCCCUUACGGCCUGGGCUGCACACGUGCUACAAUGCCCGGUACAGAGGGACGCAGACCGCGAGGUGGAGCAAUCCCAAAAACCGGGCCCAGUUCA